This is a non-coding RNA of Ictidomys tridecemlineatus (thirteen-lined ground squirrel), 2667 nucleotides long. The record is from RefSeq and is a predicted model, not a curated record. Lineage: Eukaryota; Metazoa; Chordata; Mammalia; Rodentia; Sciuridae.
GCCGCCGCUGCUGGAGCUGCGGGGCUUGCUGGGCUGACUCGCAGAGCCCGAGCCCGCGUGGAAUGGGCCACUCAAGCCCCCGCGGCCCUCAGCCACCCUUGCCGGUGGGAGCAUUCCAACUUUGGAGUUUUUCCCUUUCUGAAGAAGCCUCUUCCUGCACUCUAGGGCGAUGUGUCCACGCAGCGUUCAGUGGCUGUCGAUUUCGGUUGGAGAAGCUCGCCAUCCCAUUUCCCACCUGUCAAAACGCCGAGGACCGAGGCGCCGUCUCACACGAUUCUUACUACAGGAAUGGAAUCCAGACCUCCAGGAGGUGGACUGGGAAAGACUUUCAGGGUUGUUCUGAAAUCCUCAACUGCAUCAUCAAUUUGGAGGGUCCAGGUGCAACUUCAGUUCAGGCUCAAACAAGGUCUCUUCCUCCUGGGGAAGCCACAGACACAUCCUUCACAAGCUCUUUCUUAAAGAGUCGCAGAGGUGGACUUCCUGUAAAAACAUAGUUCUAUGAGGCUGCAUCUUCCCUCUCCUCUUUUCUUUCCUUAGCUGCCGUUCAAAGGAAACAAACCUUUGAUCACCAAUGUCGGUGCAACUAGACGAUACCUGUGACUCAAAAAUUAAGAGAAAAUGGACAAUUGCUGCUGUUAUGGUUUGGAUAUUAGGUGUCCCCAAAAGCUCAUGUGCAAGGCAAUGCAAAAAGGUGUAGAGGUGAAGCAAUUGGUGGAGACCCUUCAGCUAAUCAGUGAAUCCAUGCCCUGCUUCCUCGUGUGAGGUCCUGAGCUGCUUUCCCCUGCCACAUUCCACCAUGAAGGGCUGCCUCACCCAGCUCUAAGGAAUGGAGUUGGCCACUGAUGGACUGAGACCUGUGAAACUGUGAGCGUCAGGUAAACUUUUCCUCCUCUAAUUAUUCUUGUCAGGUCUUUUGGUCACAGCAGCAAAAAUAAAUAAAUAAAUAAGUUGACUAAAACAGCUGCCAACAAUAAAAAGGACUGUCAUGGAAGCUUCAUGGGAGAAAGGAGCUAGAGGGACGUCCACGGAGGUAGAGCUCAGAAUGUGCCAUGAAAACCCACCUGUUAACAGGAAGUAUAUCACCUCUGUGAGACGUAGGGAAGGUGGGGCAAAGGUGCCCAGGGACCACCUGGGAGAAAGUUCCACAAAGAAACCCACAAUAGCAGCACAUCUCAGAAAGCGCCUCUGAAGGCCACGGGCUUUCUAUAAAGUGCAAAAUACAGAGAGAAGGAAGGAAGUGGUAAAGACAAGAGCAGAAAUCAAUGGCACUGAGAACAGGGGGACCAUCCAGAAAAUCAGUGAAACCAGAUGCUGGUGGCUGUGGCCUGGUUGUGACCCCCCAAAUGUCCCAAGUUAGAACUUAUUGCCCAGUGGUCAUGGUAAGAGGAGGGGGCUUUGGAGGGCUCCACCCUCCCCAGAGCCAGUGUCCCUGUAAACCAGGCUGACGGGAGUGUGGCUGUCCUUCUGCUAGUGAGGAGGCAGCAGAGAGGGGCCUUCUGGGAGAGGUGGACCCACUCCUGGUACCAUAUUUGUCAGCACCUUGAUCUCGGGCUUCCCAGCCUCCAGAACUGUGAGCUGUAACUUUCUUUAUAAUCCCCCAGGCUAAGGCAUUUUGCUUUAGAGCCUGGAGGGACUGACAGAUGCUGUUUCCUUAAAACAACAGCAACCACCUCAAUGAAAUUCCAAAACCUCUAGUAAAACCAGCGAGAAGCACAAGAUGGGGAGAUGCGUGUCACCCGCAUCAGGAAUGAAACGGGUAUCGCUGUGGGUGCUGCAGAUAUUAAAGUAACAAGGGAAUAAUUCAAACAACUUUGUGCUGCUGAUUUGACAACUUGUAAGAGAGGAACUAAUUCUUGAAAUCCACAGACUACCCGCCUCCAUCAAGGUGAAAGAGCCUCAUGACUGUGCAUGAACCUGAAUUCAAGGGUUAACCCCCACCUCCCCCAAGGAAGCUCCAGACCCAGGUGGUUUCCCAGAAGAAUUCUAUUAAGCACUUAAAGAAUGGCCAGUAUUUUCACAUAGUUUCUAUGAAACGAUCAAAGAAAAAUCUCAGAUCUUAGUCUUUGGACUUACCCACAAACUAAGGGCUCGUUCUGAAUGUCACCUUCUGGUUCAGCAGCAACUAUCAACCAACUGGGAAAUCCUGGUUGGAACUACCGGACACUAAGACCACAUCACCCCACUAACCAGGUAGCCACCUUGGGUUUCCUUCCCUUGGUCCUCUGGAACCAGUGCUUAUCCACCAGUUCCACAGUGAGGGGGUGUCAGGGUGACCCUAACAGCCCCCCGGGCACAGCGGGCAUCUCCUGAUGCUAGAAAGCCUGUAACAAUGUCGCUUCCGUUUGAAGCCCUCAUUGGCUGCUGGUUCAGGUGGCGGCUGGUUGGGGUCACAUCUUUUGCUCUGGGCCAACCCCAGAUGAAGAAAGUGAGUCCUCUAGGGCACAGGAAGCUGGAGCCGUCCCCUCAGCUAGGAGACAGGAGUUAGAGAUACUUACUGGAAAGGCCCUAGCCCCAUGGGGGCCAGGGUUAGUUAGACAAUUAUUGACACCUUCAAAACUUGGCAGAGAGCUUCUCACUUCAUGUCGCUUUUUCUUAAAAUCUAUCACCCAUCAAAAUCAUGAAGAGCUGGGUGUGGCUGGUACCUGUAAUCCCAGUGGUUUAGGAGGC